GACGAACGCUGGCGGCGUGCUUAACACAUGCAAGUCGAACGGAAAGGCCCUGCUUUUGUGGGGUGCUCGAGUGGCGAACGGGUGAGUAACACGUGAGUAACCUGCCCUUGACUUUGGGAUAACUUCAGGAAACUGGGGCUAAUACCGGAUAGGAGCUCCUGCUGCAUGGUGGGGGUUGGAAAGUUUCGGCGGUUGGGGAUGGACUCGCGGCUUAUCAGCUUGUUGGUGGGGUAGUGGCUUACCAAGGCUUUGACGGGUAGCCGGCCUGAGAGGGUGACCGGCCACAUUGGGACUGAGAUACGGCCCAGACUCCUACGGGAGGCAGCAGUGGGGAAUAUUGCACAAUGGGCGGAAGCCUGAUGCAGCAACGCCGCGUGCGGGAUGACGGCCUUCGGGUUGUAAACCGCUUUCGCCUGUGACGAAGCGUGAGUGACGGUAAUGGUAAAGAAGCACCGGCUAACUACGU
Molecule: ribosomal RNA, 466 nt
Filed under: uncultured bacterium
Lineage: Bacteria
Description: partial 16S ribosomal RNA
Rfam family: Bacterial small subunit ribosomal RNA
Source: RNAcentral